CUACUAGGGCUUAAUAGGUUAUAUAUAACGGUGUAGAUGGUAAAAUCCCUACCAGCCAUUUCUUGCCGAGUCAGGGCUCAACGAGGAACACAGAAAAAGGAGGCAGCAAGUUUUUUUUCACCUCACCGCCAUGAGAGCCAAGUGAAAGAAGAAGCGCGUGAGAAGACUGAAGACUGAAGAGGAAGCGCCGAAAGAUGAGACAGAGAUCCAAGUAGGCGGAACAGUUGGCCUUGUUCUACGAGGUUUCUCAAUGUCUUAGCUUAAUUUGGCGUGCUUUUAGGGAUAAGUUAUCUGCCAUUUUUGUUUUUAGAUUCAAGUUCUGUUUUUGUUUCUAUAGUCUUUCAAUUCGGUGCUAAUCAUGCCGUGGAUGUUUCAUUGUCGAGAACAGUGAAUGGUUUUUUUAAUAUAAUUAUUACCCUUUACCUA
Hibiscus syriacus is the source of this 426-nucleotide long non-coding RNA. RefSeq lists it as uncharacterized. The record is from RefSeq and is a predicted model, not a curated record. The transcript is spliced from 2 exons. NCBI's taxonomy places the organism in Eukaryota, Viridiplantae, Streptophyta, Magnoliopsida, Malvales, Malvaceae.